AGAGGCAAAUCGCCAUUUUACAUGAAGCAUAAAAAAACACAUCAAAAUAAAUAAUUAUACAACAUGGAGUCAAAGUCUUUUACAGACUUUCGGUAUGCAAUUGACUCCAUGGGAUGGCUAUCUGGGUUAAGUCCAUUCGUAUAAUCCAAACUCCCGAACGGGCCGGUGUUCGCAUGCCUUGACGAAUGAGAGUAGUCUCAGCGGUGUUCAGCAGAAAAAGUGUCAGUUUUUAGUUCCAUAGAAUCUGUGCCGAACACCGCUGGUCUCAGCGGUGUUCAGCAGAAAAAGUGUCAGUUUUUAGUUCCAUAGAAUCUGUGCCGAACACCGCUGGUCUUUCGCAUGGUCGGCAUACGAACGACGACCACCCUGCAUUAGGUUAUAAUCAAGAGGUGUCUGCGGUUAACCCCAACAUUCUAAUUGGGAUCAAGAGGUUAACCAACAGCACACUUCUCUUCUGGGUGGCCGUCCGUUCGGUAAGUUCAUUCGGCCAAAAAGUCAAAAAGGCGAAUAGGGGCAUACGGACAG
Non-coding RNA from Pelobates cultripes (western spadefoot toad), 525 nucleotides. The record is from the annotation of a GenBank genome assembly. NCBI's taxonomy places the organism in Eukaryota, Metazoa, Chordata, Amphibia, Anura, Pelobatidae.